This is a long non-coding RNA of Thalassophryne amazonica, 2129 nucleotides long. RefSeq lists it as uncharacterized. Lineage: Eukaryota; Metazoa; Chordata; Actinopteri; Batrachoidiformes; Batrachoididae. The transcript is spliced from 3 exons. The record is from RefSeq and is a predicted model, not a curated record.
CACAAUUUGUCACCAGUCCAUCAGUGAAGGUUCCUUUCCACCAAAACAUCUGCUGUCCUAAAUAGAGCCGACUGGAAUCUACACAUUCCGCAGGACUUAACAAAAUACCAGACGAGGGAGGGUGAGAGCACUCCGGGGUCGAGGAUGAAUGAAUCACCGACUGACCAAUAGUGGGGCUGCGGAGGAAAUUUGCUUACACGUCAAAAGGUUUUUUUAGUCACUUUGGUCGUCUCUGCUGUUGGCAGGUCAAACCAGCUAUACAUAACAACCAGGAACUCUCAAGCAGGCCUGUUUGAGCUUAAAACAGGCUCAAGUAUUAAAGAGAAUCAUCAGUGUUGCUCAGAUCUUUACAAGCUUAAAAGUAGAACGUAAGACUUUAGAUUGUUAUGUGUUCAAAGCCCAGACAGUAGACUGCUUUCUCAGAAGUCACUUUUGUGCUGAUACAGUCUCAGUGAGAACAAUGGAUCUACCCAACAAACCGUUGAGACUUUAAGGUGUGUCCACCGUUUUCAACUUGGGCAGAAGAUCUGUUCUUUGUUUUGGCCACAAGAUGGCAGGUGAAAUCGAGCUUGUGCAGCCCUUAUUGGAACCCUCCCACCCCUAACUCCAUCACACCCCCCUCAGACAUUUCCGUGUUGAGCUUGCACCACACUUUCUACUUGUGUAUCCUGCGUUUACUUGGGUCGUCAUAGCAGCAGGCUGACGGCAAGAAAAAAACAGGUAAGAGGAUACGGGAGGAAAAUGCCAUUAGGAAGUACGUGGGAGUGUUUUCAAAUCCAUGACCUCAGUGAACUCAAGUAACACAUCGCUCAGAUAUUUGACCAGUUUAAUUUCACUGCAGAUAUCUCUCUUCAACACAGUCAAAUCCCUCAGCUUGAAGAAAAAGAAAAGAAAAAUCACUGCAGAACAACAAUCAAGCAAACAACAAAACGGAACAGAGUAUUCAACAAUAAUAUGGGAAUCAAUCUGCAAUUAAUGUAAAUUAUGAACAUCAAUGUUUAGAUAAUUUGUUCCAGGUGUGCAAUCAAAUCUCUAGUCGUUUUCAGAGGUGAUCCUCCCAAAACUAGAAUUUCUACACAGUCAUCCUGAGAAUCACUGAGUGAACUUCUUUCUUUUCCCUGCCAGUUGAAGAAUUUGUCUUUAUGCUCAUGUUUGCCACAGUGGCUUCAAUAUACACUCACCGGACACUUUAUUAGGUACAUCUGUUCAGUUGCUUAACACAAAUAGCUAAUCAGCCAAUCACAUGGCAGCAAUUCAAUCCAUUUAGGCAUCUAGACAUGACGAUGAUGACUUGCUGAAGUUCAAACUGAGCAUCAGAAUGGGGAAGAAAGGGGAAUUUACGCGAUUUUUGAUGGUUGUUGGUCCCAGAUGGGCUGGUCUGAGUAUUUCCGAAACUGCUGAUCUACUGGGAUUUUCACUCACAACCAUCUCUUGGGUUUACAGAGAAUGGUCCAAAAAAGAGAAGACAUCCGUGAGCGGCAGCUGUGUGGCUGAAAAUGCCUUGUUGAUGUCAGAGGCCAGAGAAGAAUGGGCAGACUGGCUGAAUGAGUGACUGCAUGAUGCCAUCAUGUCAAUAUGGACCAAUAUCUCUGGAGAAUGUUUCUAACAACUUGCUGAAUCUAUGCCAUGAAGAAUUAAGGCAAUAUUGAAUACUAGCAAAGUGUACCUAAUGAAGUGGCCGGUCAGUGUAGACACUCAUGUUAUGGUACAGGUUUGCCACCGGGUAUCCUUCCUGAUGCAACUGCAUAUGUGCAUGAGGUACAGCUGCCCUUUAACUGGAGACCUUCUGUUUGGGAGGAAUUUACUGUAUUGUCCACAGUAGUUGCAGCUUUUUUACUAGUUUGGGAGGCCCUGCGACUUAUAAUCCAGUGCGAAGCAUAUACUGAAAUAUCACAUUCAUUAAUAAUAAUAAAAAUUUAUAUUGAGCUUUCCCGGGAAUCAAUGAUUAAACAAAAUAAACUCCAAUAAUUAAUGCCAAUCAUAAAAUUACACAACAACUAGUUAAAAGAUAUGAUAAUACACAAAACAAGUGCCAUGAUUUGAAAGACUUAGACUUCUAAAGUGAGUUUGAACUAAAACCUAUGAAUGGAAUAUCUGGGAAAUAUAAUAGAUUAUAGCCGAGCAGACAU